AAACAGUAGAAUCAGUUUGAGACUAAAAUUAAAAUCACUAUGAAUUUUUUUCUCAAAUUUCAAAAUUAUUCUUAUGAGCAGUAUUCACACGCCCGUGUGGAUUGCCAGUGUGACCCACAUUACCUUGUCAUUAAGUCAUACGACCGUGUUGAGAGCUUGUGUAACUCUCUGUUUAUGACAUUGUCAUCAAGUGGAUUUCACAUAGCCGCAUCGUACGCCCGUGUUUUAGACUGUAUCCUUCACACGACUGAGACACAUGUCCGUGUCUUUGCUCGUGUGCUUAUUUUUAAGCUAAAAUUCAAGACACAGGGGUUACACGGUCUGGCCACAUGCCCGUGUACCAAGCCGUGUGGACUCAAAAUGAGUAUCUAACAGUUAAUUUUCUAACUCUACAAAUUUCAACCACAAUCAACAUAAAAUACUUAUGUUCCAUCAAUCUAGACACAAUCAAAUACGCUUAUAAUUUGCCAAAUUUAACAUUUUAUAUAUUAUACAAUAUUCAAUUCUAAUCACUUAUCAAAUAUCAUCAAAUAAUUCAAAUUCACACCAAAUAAGCCAAAUCUUAUUAUGUACCAUUACCAAAUCUCAAUCUACUUAUUUCAUCCUUACAUUCUCAAUUCAAAAUGACAUACACGUAAGACACCCUAGGUACAUGCCAUUACCAAUAAUUAGCAUACUUUACCUUAUUGAAUUCGGGAUCAUCCUGGGAUGCUGAUUCAACAUUCUAGCUUUAACUUAUCCUGCGCACGGAAACAAACCGUACGUUGAGUAUGGAUAUACUCGGUGGUAUUUCUAUAAUCCGAACAUCAAAUAAAAUGAAAAUAUAACAAACACUUAAAAAUCAUAUAAUAAUUAGAAUUAUUCAAUUAUUUAAUUUCGUAGAUAAAUUGUUUAUAACUUAUUUCAUUCUUUUUACUUACUAACCUGUAUAGUUUUCCGUAAUACGUUCACACGUCAUUUUAAAACAAUAAUAUUAUUCACUUCUCAAUCACCGUUCUAUACUUAUUCAUUUCAUUAACAGUUAUUAUUAUUCAUAUCAUUAUCUUGCUAUUCUAGAUAACUUCCACUAUAUACAUUCGAUUCAUAUAUCUCAAUUCACAUUUCAAUUCAUCAAGUGGCAUCAAAUAUCAUCAAUUCGAACUUCAAUCAUUUCAUGAACCUUUGGUUCAAGUUUCAAUCUCAUAUCUCAAUUUCAAUUCUCAAUUCAAUUUCUCAUUUCAUUUCAAUAGCUCAAUCAAUCAAAUUUAUUCGAUUUAUCUCUUUAUUUAUUUACUCCUAUUAACAAGACUCGGACCUUGGCGGAUACACUAUCCAACCAAACACACCAGAUUGGCACCCAGUGCCUCAUUGGAUAAUUCGAAGCAAUAGUUGACACCCAGUGCCUCAUCGGCCUAGCCAAAGUAAAGUUGGUAUCCAGUACCUCAUCGAAUUUAUCCAAAGAAAUAUAGUGACACCCAGUGUCUCAUCGACUCAAGGUUGAAGUAUCCCUGAACACUUCCAAUCUUAUGGCAUGCCAACUAUAUCCGACCUAGCCCGAUACUGUUAGUAGGGUAUCUAAAUCACAUUUAAUUUUAUUUCAAUCACAAUUUCUCACAUUUUGAAUUCAAUCAUUUUUCCACCUUUCAAUCAAUAUUCAAUCCAUUUAUUUACACAUUUUUCACAAUAAUCAUAUCAAUUUCAUCAUAUUCUCAAUCAGUAAAAUUUUCAAUAUAACAUACAUUCAAUAUUUAAUUUUUACCUCACUCACAUAUAUCAUAUAAAUUCAAUUCAAUUCAAUCAAUAUAAUUUCAAUAAAUUCAUUAUAUAUCAAAUCAAUCCAUUUCAAUUAUAAAACACAAUAAUUCUAACACUAACAAUUUCCAUAUGCAUUAAAUAAAAAUACAACAAUUAAAUACUAAUUUCGGAUUAUAGAAAUACAAACCGUAAUUUCUAAGCUAACUCCCGUUGUCUUUGCCUUUUUCCUUGCUUAGCUGAGGCUUUCGGCACAAUGUUAGCUACGGUAAUUAAAAUAAUUAUACUAUUAAUUACAGUAUUAAUUAUAAUAAAUAAUUAAAUUUCUAAUCAAUUCUCACCUUAUUCCUAAUUUAAUCCUUACUAAGUUUACUCACUUUCCUAAUUAAAUUCACUCUUUAUUUCCAUUCAAAUUUUAUCCAAACUCAAAUUUAAUUAUUAAAUUUCCAGCAUAUUUUCAUAAUUUUGAAUUUAUUUCCAUUUAAGCCCUAAAACUCAAAACUUAUAGCUUAGUUUACAAUUCAAUCCUUUAUUCAAUUCAAAUCAAAAUUUCUAUCAAAUAAACCCCCAAUUCCAUCAUUUUAUUCAACAUGAACCAUAUUUAGAAAUCUAAUAACUUUCAAAAUUUCCACUUAAAACAAGUAGUAUUUAUCUCUAGGAUUUCAAAAACUCAAAAAUCAUAAGAAAAGGGGCUAAAUUGACUUACCAAAUUAACUUGAAACAUUUAAAACCAUAUUUUUCCCUUUUUCUUUUCUUUCUUUCUCCCUUCUCUGUUUCGUCCCCUGCUAUUCUGUUUCUUUCCUUCUUUUUAUUCUUUUGUUUCUUAUAUAUAUAUAAUAACAAUAAUAACUAUAAUAAAAAUCUAUUUAAUAACAAAUAUUUAUUUAACACUUGUACCAAUCAUUUUUAUACGCUUGUUUUUCUUUUCUUUUAUAUAUAUAUAAUAACUUAAUAAUAUACUUAUAUAAUAAGUAAACAUACAUGUAUUUUACAAAUGUAUGUAUACUAAUAUUACACAUGUCAUUAUACAUACCAUAC
RNAcentral lists this long non-coding RNA (2769 nucleotides) under Gossypium barbadense (sea-island cotton). Its description in RNAcentral is "long non-coding RNA (GBAR_LNC006622)". The record is from RNAcentral. Lineage: Eukaryota; Viridiplantae; Streptophyta; Magnoliopsida; Malvales; Malvaceae.